Molecule: transfer RNA, 67 nt
Filed under: Cronartium ribicola 11-2
Lineage: Eukaryota; Fungi; Basidiomycota; Pucciniomycetes; Pucciniales; Coleosporiaceae
Description: tRNA-Und (NNN) (tRNA-Und-NNN-129-1)
Source: RNAcentral
GGCUUAGUAGUUCAAGUACGGUAGAACUAGAGUAGCAUUGUCCUGGGUCCGACUCCCAGUUAGGCCA